UGAGGAAUAUUGCACAAUGGGCGCAAGCCUGAUGCAGCGACGCCGCGUGUGGGAUGAAGGGGCUACGCCUCGUAAACCACUGUAGCCCGGGACGAAAAACGCCUUAGAGGCGUUAGACGGUACCGGGAAAGUAAGGGUCGGCUAACUACGUGCCAGCAGCCGCGGUAAUACGUAGGACCCAAGCGUUGUCCGGAUUUACUGGGUGUAAAGGGUGCGCAGGCGGAUGGGUAAGUCAGGGGUGAAAGUCUGCAGCUUAACUGUAGAAUUGCCUUUGNUACUGCUCAUCUUGAGUGUGGGAGAGGUUGAUGGAAUUCCAGGUGUAGCAGUGAAAUGCGUAGAUAUCAAGAGGAACACCUGAGGCGAAGGCGGGUUGCUGGGCCGACACUGACGCUGAUGCGCGAAAGCCAGGGGAGCAAACG
Molecule: ribosomal RNA, 419 nt
Filed under: uncultured bacterium
Lineage: Bacteria
Description: bacterial SSU rRNA
Rfam family: Bacterial small subunit ribosomal RNA
Source: RNAcentral